Molecule: ribosomal RNA, 233 nt
Filed under: uncultured bacterium
Lineage: Bacteria
Description: partial 16S ribosomal RNA
Rfam family: Bacterial small subunit ribosomal RNA
Source: RNAcentral
UGAGCAAUCUGCCCUUCUCAUCGGAAUAAGCGUUGGAAACGACGUCUAAUGCCGAAUACGACCUCCUUUCGCAUGAUCGGAGGUGGAAAGCUCCGGCGGAGAAGGAUGAGCUCGCGGCCUAUCAGCUAGUUGGUGUGGGUAACGGCCCACCAAGGCGACGACGGGUAGCCGGCCUGAGAAGGUGACCGGCCACACUGGGACUGAGACACGGCCCAGACUCCUACGAGAGGCAG